Molecule: long non-coding RNA, 208 nt
Filed under: Elaeis guineensis (African oil palm)
Lineage: Eukaryota; Viridiplantae; Streptophyta; Magnoliopsida; Arecales; Arecaceae
Description: long non-coding RNA (EGUI_LNC025754)
Source: RNAcentral
UGGUUUCUCCGAUGAGAACUUUACCUUCUUUCCUCUCCUUCUUUUAUUACAAAUAAGAAACACAAGAAAAGGACAAAAUAGGAAAAAAAAAAAAGGGAAACAAUUGGAAGGAAAGGAGAACGAAUCGGCUAGCACAACCCAACCAGUGAAUUAGAAAAAUAGAGAAUUGGGGUAGCCUCUCAAAUAAUAAAAUCAAAAGAAAGACCAA